UACGUAGGGUGCGAGCGUUAAUCGGAAUUACUGGGCGUAAAGCGUGCGCAGGCGGUUUUGUAAGCCAGAUGUGAAAGCCCCGGGCUUAACCUGGGAAUGGCAUUUGGGACUGCAAGGCUUGAGUGCGGCAGAGGAGACUGGAAUUCCUGGUGUAGCAGUGAAAUGCGUAGAUAUCAGGAGGAAUACCGAUGGCGAAGGCAGGUCUCUGGGCUGACACUGACGCUCAUACACGAAAGCGUGGGGAGCAAACAGG
This 253-nucleotide ribosomal RNA is filed under the name uncultured bacterium. Its description in RNAcentral is "partial 16S ribosomal RNA". It matches the Rfam family "Bacterial small subunit ribosomal RNA", at positions 524 to 776 of the family's 1533-position model. The record is from RNAcentral.